UGAGUACGAGACGCUAAGGCGUCGAAGUAGUGGAUGUCAUACUUCCAAGAAAAGCUUGCACUGUCAUAAAUAAAAAGUGCCUGUACCAUAACCGACACAGGUGGGUAAGUAGAGUAUACUAAGGGGCGCGAGAUAACUCUCUCUAAGGAACUCGGCAAAAUAACUCCGUAACUUCGGGAGAAGGAGUGCCUUAUUCUUAAGGUUGCAAUAACAAGAUCCAAGCAACUGUUUAUCAAAAACACAGGUCUCCGCUAAGUCGUAAGACGAUGUAGGGGGGCUGACGCCUGCCCAGUGCCAGAAGGUUAAAGAAGUCGGUUAGCAAUAGCAAAGCUGGUAACUGAAGCCCUGGUGAACGGCGGCCGUAACGAUAACGGUCCUAAGGUAGCGAAAUUCCUUGUCGGGUAAGUUCCGACCCGCACGAAAGGCGUAAUGAUUUGGAUGCUGUCUCGGAGAGGGGCUCGGUGAAAUAGACUUGUCUGUGAAGAUGCGGACUACCUGCACCAGGACAGAAAGACCCUAUGAAGCUUUACUGUAACUUGAAAUUGAAAUUGGACUUUAUUCGCGCAGUAUAGGUGGGAGGCGUUGAUUAUAAUCUUGUGGGAUUAUUGGAGCCAUCAGUGAGAUACCACUCUUGUAAUGUUAGAUUUCUAACUUUGAAUCAUUAUCUGGUCAAAGGACAGUUUCAGGCGGGCAGUUUGACUGGGGCGGUCGCCUCCUAAACGGUAACGGAGGCGUACAAAGGUUUCCUCUGAACGGUUAGAAAUCGUAUCUAGAGUGUAAAGGCAUAAGGAAGCUUGACUGUGAGACCUACAAGUCGAGCAGGGACGAAAGUCGGUCUUAGUGAUCUGACGGUACUGAGUGGAAAGGCCGUCACUCAACGGAUAAAAGUUACUCUAAGGAUAACAGGCUGAUCUCCCCCAAGAGUUCACAUCGACGGGGAGGUUUGGCACCUCGAUGUCGGCUCAUCGCAUCCUGGGGCGGUAGUACGUCCCAAGGGUUGGGCUGUUCGCCCAUGAAAGCGGUACGCGAGCUGGGUUCAGAACGUCGUGAGACAGUUCGGUCCAUAUCCGGUGUAGGCGCUAGAAUAUUGAGAGGAGCCUUCUUUAGUACGAGAGGACCGAGAAGGACAUACCUCUGGUGCACCAGUUAUCGUGCCAACGGUAAACGCUGGGUAGCUAUGUAUGGAGUGGAUAACCGCUGAAAGCAUCUAAGUGGGAAGCCCACCUCAAGAUAAGUAUUCUCAUCACGUAAGUGAGUAAGGUCACGGUAAUACUAACCGUUUGAUAGGCAUUAAGUGUAAGUACAGUAAUGUAUGUGCUGAGAUGUCCUAAUAGACCGAGGACUU
RNAcentral lists this ribosomal RNA (1345 nucleotides) under metagenome. Its description in RNAcentral is "bacterial LSU rRNA". It matches the Rfam family "Bacterial large subunit ribosomal RNA", at positions 1564 to 2925 of the family's 2925-position model. The record is from RNAcentral.